This 62-nucleotide transfer RNA is filed under the name Lachesilla sp. LaspMLY. RNAcentral's name for it is "tRNA-Thr". Lineage: Eukaryota; Metazoa; Arthropoda; Insecta; Psocodea; Lachesillidae. The record is from RNAcentral.
GUUUUAAUAAUUUAAAUAAAAUAUUGAUCUUGUAAAUCAAAAAUGAGUAUAAUCUUAAAACU